RNAcentral lists this small nucleolar RNA (168 nucleotides) under Spathaspora passalidarum NRRL Y-27907. RNAcentral describes it as "Small nucleolar RNA snR80". It matches the Rfam family "Small nucleolar RNA snR80". The record is from Rfam by way of RNAcentral. Lineage: Eukaryota; Fungi; Ascomycota; Pichiomycetes; Serinales; Debaryomycetaceae.
GCAUGUUUGCCAACACUCUGGUGCCAUAUCAUCCUUUGCUAUUUAUAGCUUAGAAUGCCAUAUUUGGUUCCUAUUUUGGUGCAAACUAGAAUAUUUUUAGCUGACUACUCACCAUUAUACUCCUUUUUCCACUAUGGGUAUGAUCAGGUCCAUUUCAUUAGCUUACAU